GUGCAACCAUAACUCUGAUAUGGGCUUCAACAAAGAUGGAAGAAGACUUGCUGCCCCAGAUCUGCUCAGGAAACAACAGAGUACUUAAAAAGCAGAGAAGCACCUGCAGUUUAAGAGAAUGGAAAAUCUGCAUCAAUCUGUGCCAUGGAACGCAAGUAUGAAUGGAUCAUGAAUAAUUUCAAACAAGAGCAAGAUUUGAGACUCUGGCCAAUUUCCUCAAAUAAAUAACUGACUGUAGGAUAUGACUGAGCAAUGUGGAACCUGGCAGCAGAGUGCUGUUGAACGCAUUACGAGCUUUGCUGGGAUCCCAGGGGGAGACUACAGAAAUUUUAUUGUUGUCUUCAGUGAGAGCAAAAUAAUUUCCUGGGAGCUCUCCUCUGCAUUGAAAGAUGUCAUAAAACUCAACACUUCACCAGGGAUAUGGGAGAAGUGGGCUUUGUUCUGUUCUCCAGUCUGAAUGGAUUUAAGCCUACAUCGUGCACGUACCCCUCUUCUGGAUCUGCAUGGCCUUCAGUCUUAGAGCCCUCUGCUGUUGUAGUUCCCUUUGCCAAAAAUGAAGCAAUUUUAUUAAUACAAUGUGAAAAGUAUUAGAGUAUCAUCUAUUGAUAAAGGGAAUUUUCUAGGUGAACGGAAUUUUGUACUUGAGACACUCUUUGGGUGACUUGUACAGGCUGUUUCAGCCAACAGGGACCAGUGAAGAGGGAAACACUGAAGAAUAAACAGCCUCGUCUCCCCUGGGAAUCCCCUCA
Molecule: long non-coding RNA, 749 nt
Filed under: Phasianus colchicus (ring-necked pheasant)
Lineage: Eukaryota; Metazoa; Chordata; Aves; Galliformes; Phasianidae
Description: lncRNA (ENSPCLG00000016390.1)
Source: RNAcentral